GUCUACAGCCAUGCCACCCUAAAUGUGCCCAAUCUUGGAAGCUAAGCAGGGUCGGGCCUGGUUAGUACUUGGAUGGGAGACCACCUAGGAAGACCAGGUGCUGUAGGCG
Molecule: ribosomal RNA, 109 nt
Filed under: Pteropus alecto (black flying fox)
Lineage: Eukaryota; Metazoa; Chordata; Mammalia; Chiroptera; Pteropodidae
Source: RNAcentral